UGUUUACAUGUUAAUCACCUUCACAGUAACAUUUGUGGCAAUAGGACAAGGGGAAAGGGGGACAAACUGAAGCAUAGGAAUUUCUGCACAAAUGUGCAUAAGAACUUCUUUACAGUUAGGGUGAUGGAGUCCUGGAACAGGCUGUCCAGAGAGGUUGUGAAUUCUCUAUCUCUGGAGAUAUUCAAGACCCUCCUGAAUGCCUACCUGUGCAGCCAGCUAUAGGGGACCUGCUUUGCAAGGGUAUUGGACUUGAUCAUCUCUGGAGGUCCCUUUCUAGUCCUUACAAUUUUGUGAUUCUGUGAUUUUUUUCUCUGUUUAAACAUAAUUUUUUAUGUUCCAAUCUAUGUCAUUUGCUUGUUGGGCACACGAAGAAAAGUCUAAUUUCUUUUUUUAAUCUCACCAUAGGCGGUAUUGCAUAUAGAUAUGAUUUCCCUUAAAUUUCUCUAUUCCAGGACGAAAAGUCCCAGCUCUCUCAGCCUUUCCUUAUAUGAGAAAUGCUCUAGCCCAUUAGUCAUCUUCAUGGCCAUUUGUUGGCUUCUCUCCAAUGUCUCUAUGUACUGGGGAGUCCAGCAUUUCAGAUGUGGCCUCAUCAGUGCCUGAAUACAGGGGAAGAAUGAGGUCUGUGUCAUCCCAUAUUUUACUGUGGACAGAUGGACAGCCACAAUGAUGCUCCUGAGGUCUUCUGUUGCAAAGCACAUACAGGGACAGAAGAAAGUGGAAAGAGUACUUUCAUUAAACAAAUGAGGAUUAUCCAUGGAUCAGGUUACACAGAAGACAGGAAAGGCUUCACAAACUGGUUUAUCAAAACAUAUAUACUGCCAUGCAAGCUAUGAUCAAAGCCAUAGACACUCUGAAAAUACAGUACACAUCUGAAGAAAAUGAGAUAAGAAAGUACAAAGAAAAUUCAAGAUUCAGUGCAUGAAAUUUCAGCCCGUACAUGAGUGAUCUUACUCAUAACUACUGCAAGUAGAGCAUUAAAGUGUGCAUUUCAUGCAGUGAGUUUGAUGUCCCACGGUCUGAAUGUGAAGAUAGGCAGGGAAAGGUGGGUAAGGGAUUGAGGAUGGGCAGGGAGAGAGGAUAUUCAUUGUUACAAGUUGGUAAUAAGUAAUGAGCACCAAUAAUUUUCUUUUGGAAUCUAAUUUACGAGUUAGUAAUACAUAGUGGCUCGUCAGUAGCACUCCAGAAUGAGAAGCUUUGGGUAUAUUUUGUAGGGAAGAAUUAGAAUUAAUAAACAGAAGUAUGCUUUGAAACACGCUACCUUUUGGAUUUGAUAAUAACCUCUACGAACUUAAUUAACUUGAAUAUGAGAAUGUCUUCUCCAAACUUUUUUCUUUUUUUUCU
This 1341-nucleotide long non-coding RNA is filed under the name Meleagris gallopavo (turkey). RNAcentral describes it as "lncRNA (ENSMGAG00000021802.1)". The record is from RNAcentral. Lineage: Eukaryota; Metazoa; Chordata; Aves; Galliformes; Phasianidae.